UAAGACAUGUGGACAAUUGAGUUUUUAACGGGGGGAGCGUGUAUCAACCUCUUUGGUAGGCUACUACUUUAGUAGUUUUCUUUAACCCUUUAUGGCCUCAAGAAGCAUGUCAAGAAGAUCAUAAACAGCACUCACCCCAAGCACUUAUUCACCAAAGGCUUCAUCCCAUUAAGUGCCGUUACGACAUGCAUGUUUAAUGCUGGAAUUUGAACGAGUUGGGAUUUAAAAGUCGGAGCCGCCGGGGAACCAUUGACAUAUCGGGGAACCGAGGUGAUAAAAGGUGAAGGAAAGUGAAUGAAGGCGUCUGAAAGAACAGGGAGACGUACAGUACACUGAGGUGUGGAUCACUCGAGAAUUGGCUUUUGCUCCGCCAGAUCCACCUGCCUGGCUCAAUCCCCCAAAGCAGAGAGGUCUUGGCUGGAAUAUAUUGACGUCCUUACUUACAGCUGAGUUAUGCAAAAUGACAGAUGUCUAAUGAGUAAUCAGACCCACUUCAUCUUCUGGUUGACUCUCGGUGCUCCAACUACAGCUGCAUCUCUUGUGUUGAAAUAUCCUACUAUCAGCAAUCCUAUGCAGCAAUCAUAGCCUACACCAAGUGUGAUAACAAGUUACUAGCCGAGAAACUGCCGUUGAGCUUUUUUCUUCUUCAAUUUUGUCAUGACUAAAGCAUUUUUUACUGAAAAAAGGUGUUGACAGGCUGUCUUGCUAUACUGAGUGACUUGUCAGCUGACACUGAAUGCCACAUACUGUAUGUAAAGGAGUUUAUAUUUAUGCUAAGCCUCUGUUUUAGAUUUUGAAGUGAAAAUAUCACUACAAUCAUACUGUUAAGUGAUAUUACACAGCCACAAGAAGAAUAACACUGUUCCAACUGAAUCACGCCACACCGAUUUCCUGUACUUCUCACUAUUUGAGUGUACUUCGCACCUACAAAUCCCUCCAUGCCCUGGCCCCACAGUACCUCUCCGUCCUCCUCCCUGCACCUUUGGAGACAGAGCCUUUAGUGUUGCAGCCCCAUCCCUCUGAAAC
Molecule: long non-coding RNA, 1026 nt
Organism: Perca flavescens (yellow perch)
Lineage: Eukaryota; Metazoa; Chordata; Actinopteri; Perciformes; Percidae
Exons: 3
Source: RefSeq, a predicted model, not a curated record